Molecule: ribosomal RNA, 253 nt
Filed under: uncultured bacterium
Lineage: Bacteria
Description: partial 16S ribosomal RNA
Rfam family: Bacterial small subunit ribosomal RNA
Source: RNAcentral
UACGUAGGGGGCAAGCGUUGUCCGGAUUUAUUGGGCGUAAAGAGCGUGUAGGCGGCCAGAUAGGUCAGCUGUGAAAACUCGAGGCUCAACCUCGAGACGUCGGUUGAAACCAUCUGGCUAGAGUCCGGAAGAGGAGAGUGGAAUUCCCGGUGUAGCGGUGAAAUGCGCAGAUAUCGGGAAGAACACCCGUGGCGAAGGCGGCUCUCUGGGACGGUACUGACGCUGAGGAGCGAAAGCGUGGGGAGCAAACAGG